UUAAGCGACUAAGCGUACACGGUGGAUGCCCUGGCAGUCAGAGGCGAUGAAGGACGUGCUAAUCUGCGAAAAGCGUCGGUAAGGUGAUAUGAACCGUUAUAACCGGCGAUGUCCGAAUGGGGAAACCCAGUGCAAUUCGUUGCACUAUCGUUAACUGAAUACAUAGGUUAACGAGGCGAACCGGGGGAACUGAAACAUCUAAGUACCCCGAGGAAAAGAAAUCAACCGAGAUUCCCCCAGUAGCGGCGAGCGAACGGGGAGCAGCCCAGAGUCUGAAUCAGCUUGUGUGUUAGUGGAACGGUCUGGAAAGUCCGACGGUACAGGGUGAUAGUCCCGUACACCAAAAUGCACAGGCUGUGAACUCGAAGAGUAGGGCGGGACACGUGGUAUCCUGUCUGAAUAUGGGGGGACCAUCCUCCAAGGCUAAAUACUCCUGACUGACCGAUAGUGAACCAGUACCGUGAGGGAAAGGCGAAAAGAACCCCGGCGAGGGGAGUGAAAAAGAACCUGAAACCGUGUACGUACAAGCAGUGGGAGCACCUUCGGGUGUGACUGCGUACCUUUUGUAUAAUGGGUCAGCGACUUAUAUUCUGUAGCAAGGUUAACCGUAUAGGGGAGCCGCAGGGAAACCGAGUCUUAACUGGGCGUUAAGUUGCAGGGUAUAGACCCGAAACCCGGUGAUCUAGCCAUGGGCAGGUUGAAGGUUGGGUAACACUAACUGGAGGACCGAACCGACUAAUGUUGAAAAAUUAGCGGAUGACUUGUGGCUGGGGGUGAAAGGCCAAUCAAACCGGGAGAUAGCUGGUUCUCCCCGAAAGCUAUUUAGGUAGCGCCUCGUGAACUCAUCUUCGGGGGUAGAGCACUGUUUCGGCUAGGGGGUCAUCCCGACUUACCAACCCGAUGCAAACUACGAAUACCGAAGAAUGUUAUCACGGGAGACACACGGCGGGUGCUAACGUCCGUCGUGAAGAGGGAAACAACCCAGACCGCCAGCUAAGGUCCCAAAGUCAUGGUUAAGUGGGAAACGAUGUGGGAAGGCACAGACAGCCAGGAUGUUGGCUUAGAAGCAGCCAUCAUUUAAAGAAAGCGUAAUAGCUCACUGGUCGAGUCGGCCUGCGCGGAAGAUGUAACGGGGCUAAACCAUGCACCGAAGCUGCGGCAGCGACACUAUGUGUUGUUGGGUAGGGGAGCGUUCUGUAAGCCUGCGAAGGUGUGCUGUGAGGCAUGCUGGAGGUAUCAGAAGUGCGAAUGCUGACAUAAGUAACGAUAAAGCGGGUGAAAAGCCCGCUCGCCGGAAGACCAAGGGUUCCUGUCCAACGUUAAUCGGGGCAGGGUGAGUCGACCCCUAAGGCGAGGCCGAAAGGCGUAGUCGAUGGGAAACAGGUUAAUAUUCCUGUACUUGGUGUUACUGCGAAGGGGGGACGGAGAAGGCUAUGUUAGCCGGGCGACGGUUGUCCCGGUUUAAGCAUGUAGGCUGGUUAUCCAGGCAAAUCCGGAUAAUCAAGGCUGAGGUGUGAUGACGAGGCACUACGGUGCUGAAGUAACAAAUGCCCUGCUUCCAGGAAAAGCCUCUAAGCAUCAGGUAACAUCAAAUCGUACCCCAAACCGACACAGGUGGUCAGGUAGAGAAUACCAAGGCGCUUGAGAGAACUCGGGUGAAGGAACUAGGCAAAAUGGUGCCGUAACUUCGGGAGAAGGCACGCUGGUGUGUAGGUGAAGUCCCUGCGGAUGGAGCUGAGACCAGUCGAAGAUACCAGCUGGCUGCAACUGUUUAUUAAAAACACAGCACUGUGCAAACACGAAAGUGGACGUAUACGGUGUGACGCCUGCCCGGUGCCGGAAGGUUAAUUGAUGGGGUUAUCCGUAAGGAGAAGCUCUUGAUCGAAGCCCCGGUAAACGGCGGCCGUAACUAUAACGGUCCUAAGGUAGCGAAAUUCCUUGUCGGGUAAGUUCCGACCUGCACGAAUGGCGUAAUGAUGGCCAGGCUGUCUCCACCCGAGACUCAGUGAAAUUGAACUCGCUGUGAAGAUGCAGUGUACCCGCGGCAAGACGGAAAGACCCCGUGAACCUUUACUAUAGCUUGACACUGAACAUUGAGCCUUGAUGUGUAGGAUAGGUGGGAGGCUUUGAAGCGUGGACGCCAGUCUGCGUGGAGCCAACCUUGAAAUACCACCCUUUAAUGUUUGAUGUUCUAACGUUGGCCCCUGACCGGGGUUGCGGACAGUGUCUGGUGGGUAGUUUGACUGGGGCGGUCUCCUCCCAAAGCGUAACGGAGGAGCACGAAGGUUAGCUAAUCCUGGUCGGACAUCAGGAGGUUAGUGCAAUGGCAUAAGCUAGCUUGACUGCGAGCGUGACGGCGCGAGCAGGUGCGAAAGCAGGUCAUAGUGAUCCGGUGGUUCUGAAUGGAAGGGCCAUCGCUCAACGGAUAAAAGGUACUCCGGGGAUAACAGGCUGAUACCGCCCAAGAGUUCAUAUCGACGGCGGUGUUUGGCACCUCGAUGUCGGCUCAUCACAUCCUGGGGCUGAAGUAGGUCCCAAGGGUAUGGCUGUUCGCCAUUUAAAGUGGUACGCGAGCUGGGUUUAGAACGUCGUGAGACAGUUCGGUCCCUAUCUGCCGUGGGCGCUGGAGAAUUGAGGGGGGCUGCUCCUAGUACGAGAGGACCGGAGUGGACGCAUCACUGGUGUUCGGGUUGUCAUGCCAAUGGCACUGCCCGGUAGCUAAAUGCGGAAGAGAUAAGUGCUGAAAGCAUCUAAGCACGAAACUUGCCCCGAGAUGAGUUCUCCCUGAGACUUUAAGUCUCCUGAAGGAACGUUGAAGACGACGACGUUGAUAGGCCGGGUGUGUAAGCGCAGCGAUGCGUUGAGCUAACCGGUACUAAUGAACCGUGAGGCUUAACCUU
RNAcentral lists this ribosomal RNA (2900 nucleotides) under Klebsiella pneumoniae. Its description in RNAcentral is "bacterial LSU rRNA". It matches the Rfam family "Bacterial large subunit ribosomal RNA". The record is from RNAcentral. Lineage: Bacteria; Pseudomonadati; Pseudomonadota; Gammaproteobacteria; Enterobacterales; Enterobacteriaceae. RNAcentral also lists the same sequence under 3 other names.